This 253-nucleotide ribosomal RNA is filed under the name uncultured bacterium. Its description in RNAcentral is "partial 16S ribosomal RNA". It matches the Rfam family "Bacterial small subunit ribosomal RNA", at positions 524 to 776 of the family's 1533-position model. The record is from RNAcentral.
UACAGAGGGUGCGAGCGUUAAUCGGAAUUACUGGGCGUAAAGGGCGCGUAGGUGGAUGAUUAAGUUGGAUGUGAAAGCCCCGGGCUUAACCUGGGAAUGGCAUACGAUACUGGUCAUCUAGAGUUGAGUAGAGGGAAGUGGAAUUUCCGGUGUAGCGGUGAAAUGCGUAGAUAUCGGAAGGAACACCAGUGGCGAAGGCGGCUUCCUGGACUCAAACUGACACUGAGGUGCGAAAGCGUGGGUAGCAAACAGG